AAGCUUGCUUCUCUUGAGAGCGGCGGACGGGUGAGUAAUGCCUAGGAAUCUGCCUGGUAGUGGGGGAUAACGUUCGGAAACGGACGCUAAUACCGCAUACGUCCUACGGGAGAAAGCAGGGGACCUUCGGGCCUUGCGCUAUCAGAUGAGCCUAGGUCGGAUUAGCUAGUUGGUGGGGUAAUGGCUCACCAAGGCGACGAUCCGUAACUGGUCUGAGAGGAUGAUCAGUCACACUGGAACUGAGACACGGUCCAGACUCCUACGGGAGGCAGCAGUGGGGAAUAUUGGACAAUGGGCGAAAGCCUGAUCCAGCCAUGCCGCGUGUGUGAAGAAGGUCUUCGGAUUGUAAAGCACUUUAAGUUGGGAGGAAGGGCAGUUACCUAAUACGUGAUUGUUUUGACGUUACCGACAGAAUAAGCACCGGCUAACUCUGUGCCAGCAGCCGCGGUAAUACAGAGGGUGCAAGCGUUAAUCGGAAUUACUGGGCGUAAAGCGCGCGUAGGUGGUUUGUUAAGUUGGAUGUGAAAUCCCCGGGCUCAACCUGGGAACUGC
RNAcentral lists this ribosomal RNA (552 nucleotides) under Pseudomonas poae. RNAcentral's name for it is "bacterial SSU rRNA". It matches the Rfam family "Bacterial small subunit ribosomal RNA", at positions 76 to 624 of the family's 1533-position model. The record is from RNAcentral. Lineage: Bacteria; Pseudomonadati; Pseudomonadota; Gammaproteobacteria; Pseudomonadales; Pseudomonadaceae.